CAGUCGCCACGGUAAUACGUAUGUCACAAGCGUUAUCCGGAUUUAUUGGGCGUAAAGCGCGUCUAGGUGGUUAUGUAAGUCUGAUGUGAAAAUGCAGGGCUCAACUCUGUAUUGCGUUGGAAACUGUGUAACUAGAGUACUGGAGAGGUAAGCGGAACUACAAGUGUAGAGGUGAAAUUCGUAGAUAUUUGUAGGAAUGUCGAUGGGGAAGCCAGCUUACUGGACAGAUACUGACGCCAAAGCGCGAAAGCGUGGGUAGCAAACAGGAUUAGAUACCCCCGUAGUCCCUGUCUCUUAUACA
This 301-nucleotide ribosomal RNA is filed under the name uncultured bacterium. RNAcentral describes it as "partial 16S ribosomal RNA". It matches the Rfam family "Bacterial small subunit ribosomal RNA", at positions 509 to 808 of the family's 1533-position model. The record is from RNAcentral.